CUUUGGGUGACGAGCGGCGGACGGUUGAGUAAUGUCUGGCAAACUGCCUGAUGCAGGGGGAUAACUACUGGAAACGGUAGCUAAUACCGCAUAACGUCGCAUGACCAAAGUGGGGGACCUUCGGGCCUCAUGCCAUCAGAUGUGCCCAGAUGGGAUUAGCUAGUAGGUGAGGUAAUGUCUCACCUAGGCGACGAUCCCUAGCUGGUCUGAGAGGAUGACCAGCCACACUGGAACUGAGACACGGUCCAGACUCCUACGGGAGGCAGCAGUGGGGAAUAUUGCACAAUGUGCGCAAGCAUGAUGCAGCCAUGCAGCGUGUAUGAAGAACGCCUUGGGGUUG
RNAcentral lists this ribosomal RNA (340 nucleotides) under Klebsiella sp. 23(2010). RNAcentral describes it as "bacterial SSU rRNA". It matches the Rfam family "Bacterial small subunit ribosomal RNA", at positions 78 to 425 of the family's 1533-position model. The record is from RNAcentral. Lineage: Bacteria; Pseudomonadati; Pseudomonadota; Gammaproteobacteria; Enterobacterales; Enterobacteriaceae.